AUUUUCCGGUUGAUCCUGCCGGACCCUAUUGCUAUCGGGAUGAGACUAAGCCAUGCGAGUUGCGCGCUCCCUAGCCAUGUUGGGAGAGCAGCGAACGGCUCAGUAACACGUAGUUAAUCUGCCCUUGGGACGGAGAUAACCCUGGGAAACUGGGGCUAUUAUCCGAUAGAUGAAGAUGUCUGGAAUGACUUUUCAUCUAAAAGUUCUUUGGAACAUGCUUCGAGGAAUGUCCAAGGAUGAGACUGCGUCUGAUCAGGCAGUUGGUGGGGUAACGGCCCACCAAACCUAUAAUCAGUACGGGCCCUGAAAGGGGGAGCCCGGAGAUGGGAACUGAGACAAGGUCCCAGGCCCUACGGGGCGCAGCAGGCGCGAAAACUCCACAAUGCGCGAAAGCGUGAUGGGGUUAUCCCGAGUGCUGUCCGUAAGGAUAGCUUUUCCCCAGCGUAAGGACCUGGGGGAAUAAAGGGGGGGCAAGUCUGGUGUCAGCCGCCGCGGUAAUACCAGCCCCCUGAGUGAUAGGGACAUCUAUUUAGCCUAAAGCGUCCGUAGCCGGCUUAGCUAGUCUUUCGUUAAAUCUGGCAACUUAAUUGUCAGGCCGCGGAAGAUACUGCUAGGCUUGAGGGCGGGAGAGGUCGACGGUAGUCCCGGGGUAGGGGUGAAAUCCUAUAAUCCCGGGAGGACCACCAGUGGCGAAGGCGGUCGACUAGAACGCGCCUGACGGUGAGGGACGAAAGCUGGGGGAGCAAACCGGAUUAGACACCCGGGUAGUCCCAGCUGUAAACGAUGCGGGCUAGGUGUUGGAGCAGCUACGAGCCGUUCCAGUGCCGCAGAGAAGUUGUUAAGCCCGCCGCUUGGGAAGUACGGCCGCAAGGCUGAAACUUAAAGGAAUUGGCGGGGGAGCACCACAAGGGGUGAAGCCUGCGGUUCAAUUGGAUUCAACGCCGGAAAU
This 949-nucleotide ribosomal RNA is filed under the name uncultured crenarchaeote. Its description in RNAcentral is "bacterial SSU rRNA". It matches the Rfam family "Archaeal small subunit ribosomal RNA", at positions 1 to 925 of the family's 1478-position model. Lineage: Archaea; Thermoproteati; Thermoproteota. The record is from RNAcentral.